GGCCCAUCAGCUAGUUGGUAGGGUAACGGCCUACCAAGGCAAAGACGGGUAGGGGGCCUGAGAGGGUGACCCCCCACACGGGCACUGAGACACGGGCCCGACUUCUACGGAAGGCAGCAGUGAGGGAUAUUGCCCAAUGGACGGAAGUCUGAGGCAGCAACGCCGCGUGCGGGAUGAAGGCCUUCGGGUUGUAAACCGCUUUUCUGCGCGAAGAGGAAGGACGGUAGCGCAGGAAGAAGUCUCGGCUAACUACGUGCCAGCAGCCGCGGUAAAACGUAGGAGGCGAGCGUUAUCCGGAUUUACUGGGUGUAAAGCGCGUGCAGGCGGUCAUGUAAGUGGUGCGUGAAAGCGCCCGGCUCAACCGGGCGAGGCCGUGCCAAACUGCGUGACUGGAGGCAGGUAGAGGCGCGUGGAAUUCCUGGUGUAGCGGUGAAAUGCGUAGAUAUCAGGAAGAACACCGGUGGCGAAGGCGGCUUCCUGGUCCGAUACUGACGCUGAGGCGCGAAAGCGUGGGGAGCGAACAGGAUUAGAUACCCUGGUAGUCCACGCUGUAAACGAUGGGUACUAGGUGUUGGUCCUUUUUAGGAUCAGCGCCGCAGCUAACGCAUUAAGUACCCCGCCUGGGGAAUACGACCGCAAGGUUGAAACUCAAAGGAAUUGACGGGGGCCCGCACAAGCGGUGGAGCAUGUGGUUUAAUUCGAUGCAACGCGAAGAACCUUACCUGGGCUUGAACCGUAGUCGAAAACCCCUGAAAAGGGGUCCUCCUUCGGGACGGCUAUAGAGGUGCUGCAUGGCUGUCGUCAGCUCGUGCCGUGAGGUGUUGGGUUAAGUCCCGCAACGAGCGCAACCCUUGCCCUUAGUUGCCAUCAGGUUAUGCUGGGAACUCUAAGGGGACUGCCCCGGAUAACGGGGAGGAAGGUGGGGAUGACGUCAAGUCCUCAUGGCCCUUACGUCCAGGGCUACACACGUGCUACAAUGGCCGGUACAAUGGGCAGCGAUACCGCAAGGUGGAGCAAAUCCUUAGAACCGGUCUCAGUUCAGAUUGCAGUCUGCAACUCGACUGCAUGAAGUCGGAAUCGCUAGUAAUCGCGGAUCAGCAUGCCGCGGUGA
This 1111-nucleotide ribosomal RNA is filed under the name uncultured Chloroflexota bacterium. Its description in RNAcentral is "bacterial SSU rRNA". It matches the Rfam family "Bacterial small subunit ribosomal RNA", at positions 235 to 1365 of the family's 1533-position model. Lineage: Bacteria; Bacillati; Chloroflexota. The record is from RNAcentral.